RNAcentral lists this long non-coding RNA (390 nucleotides) under Zostera marina. RNAcentral describes it as "long non-coding RNA (ZMAR_LNC002068)". Lineage: Eukaryota; Viridiplantae; Streptophyta; Magnoliopsida; Alismatales; Zosteraceae. The record is from RNAcentral.
UAUUUUGCAGAUGCUGCAUUGUAACUUGGUGAUGUCGGACUGUAAGUUGGUGAUGUAGGACUGUAGCUAGGGGAAGUAGGACUGUAGCCCGGAGAAGUAGGGCUAUAAGCUGGUGAAGUUGGACUAUAAGAAGGUGAUGUCGGACUGUAAGAAGGUGAGGUAGGACUGUAAGAAGGCGAGGUAGGACUGUAAGAAGGCGAGGUAGGACUGUAUGCAGGAGAGGUUGGGCUAUAGACAGGAGAGGUUGGGCUAUAAGCUGGUGAUGUGGGGCUGUAGCUGGGUGAUGUGGGGCUGUAGCUGGGUGAUGUGGGACUGUAACUGGGUGAAGUGGGGCUGUAACUGGGUGAAGUAGGGCUAUAGCUUGGUGAUGUUGGGCUGUAACUGGGUGAG